GUAAGUUCAGAAAAUGACUGAUCAAAACCUUCAAAUAGAUUUAAACGCGACGGAAGUGUAUUUUUAAACUCUGAAGGAACUGCAGAUUGCUGUGGCGGUUGGAUCACUUCACUUGGUAAAAUAACAGUAGUAGAUGAAAUCUGCGUAGAUUGCAUUGGGACCACUAACUUCAAAUUGUGAAAAAGUUCUCUCUAGAAGUUUUGAUAUUUGAGAAGUGUCAUCACGAGUAGGAAAAUAGGAGGGAUUUUCACACCAAAUCAUCCACUAACUGUUUGUUAUCCAUUAGAAGA
Caenorhabditis elegans is the source of this 290-nucleotide non-coding RNA. The record is from Ensembl. NCBI's taxonomy places the organism in Eukaryota, Metazoa, Nematoda, Chromadorea, Rhabditida, Rhabditidae.